RNAcentral lists this unclassified non-coding RNA (378 nucleotides) under plant metagenome. Its description in RNAcentral is "partial contains 5.8S ribosomal RNA, internal transcribed spacer 2, and large subunit ribosomal RNA". The stretch from base 1 to 105 matches the Rfam family "5.8S ribosomal RNA", at positions 50 to 154 of the family's 154-position model. The record is from RNAcentral.
GAAAUGCGAUAAGUAAUAUGAAUUGCAGAAUUCAGUGAAUCAUCGAAUCUUUGAACGCACCUUGCGCUCCUUGGUAUUCCUUGGAGCAUGCCUGUUUGAGUAUCAUGAAAUCUUCAAAGUAAAUCUUUUGUUAACUCAAUUGGUUUCUACUUUGGUAUUGGAGGUCUUUGCAGCUUCACACCUGCUCCUCUUUGUUCAUUAGCUGGAUCUCAGUGUUAUGCUUGGUUCCACUCGGCGUGAUAAGUUAUCUAUCGCUGAGGACACUGUAAAAGGUGGCCAAGGUAAAUGCAGAUGAACCGCUUCCAAUAGUCCAUUGACUUGGACAAUACUUUUAUGAUCUGAUCUCAAAUCAGGUAGGACUACCCGCUGAACUUAAGC